Molecule: ribosomal RNA, 2847 nt
Filed under: Triticum aestivum (bread wheat)
Lineage: Eukaryota; Viridiplantae; Streptophyta; Magnoliopsida; Poales; Poaceae
Description: partial small subunit ribosomal RNA
Source: RNAcentral
AUGGAGUCCCGCAUGGACCAGUACGAGAUCAUGGAGCAGAUUGGGCGCGGCGCCUUCGGCGCCGCCAUCCUUGUGAAUCACAAGAUCGAGAAGAAGAAGUAUGUGCUGAAGAAAAUCCGUCUCGCGAGGCAGACGGAGCGCUGCCGCAAGUCUGCUCAUCAAGAGAUGGCUCUCAUCGCUCGACUACAACAUCCUUACAUUGUAGAGUUCAAAGAGGCCUGGGUUGAGAAGGGUUGCUAUGUCUGCAUCAUCACGGGCUACUGCGAAGGGGGGGAUGUGGAUGAGCUGAUGAAGAAAUUAAAUGGUACUUACUUUCCUGAGGAGAAAUUGCUGAAAUGGUUCGCACAGUUGGUAUUGGCUGUUGACUACUUGCAUUCGAACUAUGUCUUGCAUCGUGAUCUGAAGUGCUCCAACAUAUUUCUCACCAAAGAUCAUGAUAUACGCCUUGGAGAUUUUGGCCUAGCCAAGACUCUGAAGGAAGAUGAUUUAACUUCUUCAGUCGUCGGAACACCGAAUUACAUGUGCCCGGAGCUGCUUACAGACAUUCCCUAUGGAUUCAAGUCGGACAUUUGGUCGCUUGGAUGCUGUAUGUAUGAGAUGGCGGCCCAUCGACCUGCUUUCAAGGCUUUUGAUAUGGCUGGAUUGAUAAGUAAGAUAAAUAGGUCCGCGAUGGGUCCCUUGCCUACCUGCUACUCCUCUUCUAUGAAAUCUCUUAUCAAAAUUAUGUUGCGGAAGAAUCCUGAGCAUCGACCUACUGCAUCGGAGAUUCUGAAGAACCCAUAUCUGCAGCCUUAUGUUGAUCAAUGUCGUGCUCUUUAUGAUGCUUCAAAUACCAUGCGGACACCACCGAAAUCAUUGUCCACUUCACGGAGCAGUCAGAGAAGCAUGUCUGAAAGCCAAAGCAGCAGCAUGUCUAGUAGUGAUAUAGACAGCACACUAUCAAGUGACAGAAGCACAUCAGGUGGAGCUGCAAGUACUGAUACCAAGGUCAUUGAUACUCGAAGCGUUCAUGAUGUGGAUCGAGAUAACUCAGAUGAGAAGUGUGCAACGCCAGAAGAUCUCAGAGGCAACAAAGACCUGAAAAGACAAGAUUCAUCUAAAUCCAUAGAUCAGCAUCACAGGGGUGAGAGUAAGCAACCGAAAAUCAUUGAGAAGAUAAUGACAACCUUAAGAGAGGAGAGCAGGCUUAGAGAAAGCAAUACUCCUGCAAGAACUAGAGGCGUAAAGCCGAGUUCUGCAGCCAGUAAUAAGAAUGAAGCAGAGCAACCAUCAGAUACUUCAAGGUUUAACAACAAUAAUGCUUCAUGCAGAUCAAGGUCUGGUGAUGAUUCAUCUCAUGGAUUGGUCAGUACCAACGAUGGAUGCGUGAACUCAGUGCAAGCUUCACCACCCUCGAAGCAACUGUUACCUAUUGUUGAACACCGUUCAAAUAUCAGAACCUCUCGGUCAUCAACUCCUGAACCUGCCAAACAGGUCAUUGAAAAUGGUUCGGCAGUUUCAGCGAAGUCAAAAAUGAAGACCCCGAGUAGUGCUACUAGACGGGCUAGCCCUCAGCGACGAGUGGGUGUAGGGACAACUGGCCUCCCAGCCACUGUGCAAAAAGGAGCUCAAACUAAGGUCAUGGUGGAGGGUGAGAAAAGUCCAUGCCAACGUGUCCAUUCUCCAGAUAAUACCCCUGGUGAUCUUCCACUUACUGUAAGGCCAUCCAAAAUUCCUUCAGAAGGUCUGAACAUCAUGCCAAACAACUCACAUGCAAAAUCUGCUCCCCGAGAAUUGUUUACUGUCGCAACUAAGGAAGACAUCAGCCCUUGCUCAAGUUCAACAGUUGGUUGUGUUGAAAAGAUCGACCAGUCUGAGAUAUCUGAACCUAACCCACCAGCCUGCUUGAUUUCAUCGCACACAAGCUCGGUGCCUGAUGCUGCUGCUGUGCCAGAAGACAAUGGCCUUACAGCCAUACCACGUUCAGAAAUUAACACAGAAAAAUCGCAGAGGAGUGCGGUUAGUAAUGAUUCAAGCCUGAGCUCUGCUUUGGGUCCAUCCAUUCCGAGCUUUGAACAGGAGUUUGUUUGCAAGGAUGAUGUGCAAUCCAGUAAGCAUGGGCAGAAUAUGGCCACAUUCCAAAGUGGUGAGGAUAAAUUUACUGUCCAAGAGCUUCUCUCAUCGAUGCUACCAUACGAUUCUUCGGUCUCAACAGCAGAAGAUACGAUGUUGGAUAAGGGACCCAAUUCUGUUCAGUCAAUGAAGAAACAAACAUCAAUGAAGAAAGAAACAGGUCCUCAUUUAAACCCACUGGUUGAUGAUGCCAUGCGGCAAAUCAAUUUCAAUGUCAGCAAUGAGCAGCCAAUAUCAGAAAAUGUUCAAGGGGAGACUCAGAACAUGGAUGUCAGCAAACUUCUGAAUGUGGUAAGAGAAGAUCUGGAAGUAAGAAGCAGCUCAUGCUCAUUAAACUCACUGCCUUCUACACCUCUUCCCUCAGUUGCUUCCGAACAGCAUGCUUUGGGAAGCAAUGCUGCCUGCAAGAUACCAGCCGGCUCAGACACAGCAAGAUUAUCUAGUGCCAUCGUCGAUGUGAGAUCUUACAUCUCUGAGGCCAACAUUGUUGUCAAGGAGGAGACAUCCCCUGCCAAGGAAAUGCUCGACGUCACGUCAUUUAGGCAGCGGGCCGAGGCUCUUGAGGGGCUCCUUGAGCUCUCCGCGGACCUACUGGAAGACAACAGGUUGGAGGAACUUGCUAUUGUUCUGAAGCCAUUUGGGAAGAUGAAGGUCUCUCCAAGAGAAACGGCAAUCUGGCUGGCUAGAAGCUUUAAAGGGAUGAUGAAUGACGAAGCGAGUCGCACGUCAAUGUGA